CAGUCGCCACGGUAAUACGAAGGGUGCAAGCGUUACUCGGAAUUACUGGGCGUAAAGCGUGCGUAGGUGGUGGUUUAAGUCCGUUGUGAAAGCCCUGGGCUCAACCUGGGAAUUGCAGUGGAUACUGGGUCACUAGAGUGUGGUAGAGGAUAGUGGAAUUUCCGGUGUAGCAGUGAAAUGCGUAGAGAUCGGAAGGAACAUCUGUGGCGAAGGCGACUAUCUGGGCCAACACUGACACUGAGGCACGAAAGCGUGGGGAGCAAACAGGAUUAGAUACCCCUGUAGUCCCUGUCUCUUAUAA
RNAcentral lists this ribosomal RNA (301 nucleotides) under uncultured bacterium. RNAcentral's name for it is "partial 16S ribosomal RNA". It matches the Rfam family "Bacterial small subunit ribosomal RNA", at positions 509 to 809 of the family's 1533-position model. The record is from RNAcentral.